GUACGUGAAACCGCUUAGAGCAAAACGAAUGGGCCUUCGAAUUCCGAUGACGAAGCAAUUCAGUCUCGAUAGCGUACGUGCCUGUUGGGUAUGUGUUUGCGCAAGCUUCACUGCCUAGCAUGGUUGCAAGCGUUGUUGAGGCGCAUUUUGUUUUGUCGGUAGGGCGUCGUAACCAGUAGAGUUAAUAAGAAAGCGUUUGAGGGCUAGAUUGUUGGUAGCUUUUGCUUCUUCGGAAGUGAAUGUAAUUAGCGUUUAGUCUGAAUGAAUCGCUACUCUACUGUGGAAAAGUCUUGUACUUUUGCGCAAGAAAACCGGAAGGCUUGAAUGCUGUGUUGUUGAUCCACUUAAUGUGGGCUGCGAUGCAUGCGUUUGGCUGGUAGCUGGAUUUCUAUUGCUUUUGUACGGGACGGUUUACGGCGAGUAGGUCGGUAACCCAUUCGACCCGUCUUGAAACACGGACCAAGGAGUCUAACAUGUACGCGAGUCAUUGAGAUCCUGUACCUCAAAGGCGAAAUGAAAUGUGAAGGUCAAUUUUAUUGGCUGAGACGUGAUCCGGAACUCUAUGUAGUUUCGGCGCAGCGUCCACCCGUUCAACGUGGACUUGUCCUCAGAGCGGAGUGAGAGCGUACAUGUUAGGACCCGAAAGAUGGUGACCUAUGCCUGGGCAAGAUGAAGCCAGAGGAAACUCUGGUGGAGGUCUGAAGCGAUUCUGACGUGCAAAUCGAUCGUCUGACCUGGG
RNAcentral lists this ribosomal RNA (739 nucleotides) under Trichouropoda lamellosa. RNAcentral's name for it is "eukaryotic LSU rRNA". It matches the Rfam family "Eukaryotic large subunit ribosomal RNA", at positions 395 to 915 of the family's 3401-position model. Lineage: Eukaryota; Metazoa; Arthropoda; Arachnida; Mesostigmata; Trematuridae. The record is from RNAcentral.